GCAGAUAGAGUGGUGGUGUUGGGGGAGACGUAGUCGAUGAGAGCGCUGCAGGUGGUGGACCUGGUGGUGGAGUUACAGGUGAAGGCUGCCUGAACUUUGGGCACAGUGGUGAGCACGGAGAGGAAGAAUAGGGCGAGAAGCAGAGUAGCAGAACCCAUGGCCAGGGGUAGGUGCUAAUGCGCACGGUGGUGCUGAGGUUUAGAGUGGGAGGGUUUUAGUGGGAAGUGGAGGAAAAGGUGGAAGUGCAAGAGUUUGGCUACAGGGAUCACGUGCGAUGUAGCCUCUUACUCAUUCGGAAUUUCAGAGGCACCACUGUUGACCUGUUCAUUCCAUUAUUUCAUAUCCACCUUGCGAGGCUGGUUGGGGCCUUGGAGAAUUUUUUAUUCAAAUAUUAAUAUAUCAAAAUAGGAUUAUCAAGCUUUGAGAUAAGCAAAUUAGACAAUGGCUACAUUAACUUCUAUAAGUAUAUUAUUACUAUGUUGUUGAUUAACUUCUAUAAGUACAAGUAAUUAUUAUUACUAUGUUGUUGAUACCGGAUCAACUAAUGAUGUAUUCCUCCCUUUGGCAAUGACAACGAAAGCUCUUGUUGAAAUGCUGGAAUCUGGGCUCUCUGUUUCCUACGCGAAGAUGUUCGGACGGGUUGUCCAGACAUACCCUUCAAAGCCUAAGUCAAAUUUUGAAAUAAAUAGAAACUCUUAGAGACAGAGUAGGUGAGAGAACUCAUAGUAAUGCCCCCCUUUGUUCUAUUACACUAGGAUUUUUAUAAUGCUCAAAUGAGGCAUAGUAAUACUGAGUUGGCCCUUGUAAUGAUGGCUACUCAGUAGUGACAAGGCAAUCAUCACAACUGCAAGACAGUUGGAGCUGUGUCAGACGGUGUGUUAUGAUACAACUUGUCGUCCCUUCAACUUGUUGAACGUAUAGGACUGAUUGUGAUAGUCCGUUCAUAUAGACUUAAGGAUGGAAAAGAUCUCAUCAGUCAUUCAAGUAUCAGACAACCAAAUCCUUACACACUCGAGAAGAUUUGGGGUUGUUAGGGAAGUGUAGCCCGUUCGGUGGUACAAAUGGUCGGGAUAUGAUGUUUUCGAAUGUCUUGAAAGUUGUCCGAACAGUGAUAAAAGGAGUGACACGUGGUCCAACUAGGACGAUGCCAUGUGGAAAGACAUGUGGGAGAAGGCACCACAUAUGUGACUGAAUUUUUUUAAAAUACUAUUUUAAAAUGAAAAUUAUAUUUACGUCUACUUAAUUUCUUUUGGCAUUAGUUAAAGUAAUGAAUCAUUUUAAGACACAAUGGCUCUCUAUGAAAUAACCAAAUUAUCCUUAAAGAGAAAUGCACAUUCAUCUUAUUUGAAUGUCGGUGACAAACAAUUACAUGAUAUCCAUCCGACUUUCCAAAUCUGAACCCUUUUUAGUAUCUAACAUAUUUACAAAUAUUCAACCUGAUGGGCUUGAACAUUUGCACAAUGUCCAACCUUUUAAAUUUGGACACUACAAGAUGAGUUAUUUUAUUUUAUUACCAUUUCUUUUUUCUUUUUUUAGAUUUAUCACAUUUAAAUCAAAUUUAGAUUAUUUUUAAUUUUUUUUCAACUAUUUUAAGAUGGAAGACGGGUUAUCUUAAAAUUUAAGAAAAAAUGGAAUAAAAAAAAUAAAAAAGAAAAGUAAAAGUAAAUGUGAAAAAAAUAGAUUCGAAAUCAAUAAGUAAUUUUUAUAUACUACUUCAAAUUCAUUUGAUUUAUUUUAACAUUUUUUAUAAAGAUUAAAUACUUUAAAAAUACAUAAGUAUUUUUACUAAUUUGAUUUAUAUUUAAUUUUAUUUCAUAUUUUUCAUAAAACAAUUAAACAAGAGAAAAUCAUUUUCUUUUUUUUUCUUUAUUUAUUACCUUUUAGGAACAAAAACAUAAUUUAAAAGAUAUUUUAUAUAAGGAUUUGUUGUUGAGAAAAUAAUGAAGAAGUCGAAUAUAAAAGAGAAGACUGAAAAGGGUAUUUUGGGCAUAUAUUAGAAAUUUGAAGGUGAAUGUGUGUUUUAAAGAAUUUGUAUUGGAUCAUAUCUCUGGCCAUCUGGGCUUUACAAAAGGAAACAUAGUAUUGGAAUGUGUAUGAAUAUAUUUCCAAAAUUAGUCCCUAAAAAGUGAUUUAUAAAAGAGACUUGUUGUAAAGUGAAAUGGAAAGGUGUGUGAUUGAGAACUGACGUACAAAAGAAACAUACCAUUUGAAAGUGGACAGGAGGGAUAUGGAUGGAUUUCGAUGGAAUGAAGGAAUCAAUGGUCCAAUCAUAGAGGAAUUUGAUAGAGAAGGAGAAAAGAAAAUUGAGAGGGAGGAUUUGGGUUUUCUUAACUGCCUACUUUCUUCCAAACAAUGCUAAGGAUUAGGAAAACACAACUAUCCCACUGAAGGCUGAAGCUAAAGAUUAAAGAUAAGCACUUGAUGGAAUUAUCAAGGGAACAAACAAAAUUAACAAAACUAGACUAGGGCCAUCCACGAUCCCACUUCCAGCUAGUGCGGUUGGGUAUGGAAAUCAAAUGCUUGGCAAACGCUCUGUGAAUAGGGAUGGCAAUGGGACGGGCUAGGCUACCUACCACUGCUCCACCGCAAAUGCUAGGCCACUGUCCACGCCUUGGAUUCAUAUCCAUGCUAGAGGAAUAUCACGUGACUAAGACAUGUUUACGAGUAAAGAAAACUGGAGGAAACAUGAAUACUAAAUAUACUUUCUUUCUUCUUCUUUUUUAAUUUUUUUAAUUUAUUUUUUUCUUUUAUAUUAAAAUUAAUAUAAUUUAAAAAUGUAUAAAAUUUAAUUAUAAUUAUUUUUCAUAUUUUUAAUAUAAAAUAUAAAAACUCUUAUAGAAAUGUUAAAAGACUUAACUUAUAUUCUUAAAAAUUAUUUAAAUUUUUUUAAAAUGGAUUGCUUUACGGAAUAAAUUUCAAGUAUUUUUAUAGUUAUCUAAGCAUAUGAAAAAUAUUUUGAAAACUUUUUCAUGAAAUCAAGAACUAUUUUUAAAAUUUGUUUUCAAAAAAUAUUUUUGAAAAAAAUUCACAAACAAACUCUUAGUAAUUAAGAGCAUAUUUGAUUAUGUGAUUUAAAAACAAAAAAUUGUUUUUUACAAAUUUCUAAUACUGUUUGACAAUUAUUUUUUGAAAAUAAUUUUUAAAAAUAAAUUGAAAUAAAAAAUAAUUUUCACCUUUUUUUUUAAAAAAAAAAAAUGAAGAUAUGGAUCCAUUUGACCAUAUUUUUAAAAAAUGUUUUUGAAUUAAAAAAUAAAAUACAAUUUUUAAAAACAAGUUUCAAAGAAUAUAAUCAAACAGCCCUAAGUAUCCUACUUCAAAUUUGAGCAUUAGCUUUCAAAAUUUCAUAGAAUUUCUAUAAUUUGUGUAUUAAGCAUGAUACUUUUGAAAAGAAAAAAAAAUGUGAAAGAAAAAUAAAUUAUAAAAAAUUGGAGAAGAGAGAACAUGUUGGUAUUGACUUUGUAUAUGAAAUUUAUAAAAAAUAAUAAUAACUAAUAAUAAAUAAAAACUAAAAAAAAAAAAAGAAAAAGAAAAAAACAUCCAGGAAAGAUGAAGAGAAAAUGUUGAUAUUCAAAGUGAGAGAAAACAAUGUUUAAAAUGCAAGAAUUUGGUAUAUGUUGUAACUUGUAAGAGACUAAAAUUUUGGGUUUUUAUUGUGUCAUUGGCCUCAGUUGCUAGAUCAGGGAGAACCAAAAUCACAUCAUCACUCAAGAAAAAAAGGUUUUACUUUCUGCCCAUUCUUUAUUCACGAAACUAACCAGUACAAAAAUACACCACCAAAAUUAAACUCAAAAAUAGACACUAACAUUAGAAUGACCAGCGGAUUGGAACAGAUGCCGCAACAAAAAUGCAGAAGAAAUGAUAGAGAAGCAUAGAAAUCCUACUGGGAAUGAUGAAGAUAAAGCAUAACCAAUUGGCUUACUAUGAAAACAAAGUUCCAUCUCCAACUGGGCAGAGUGAUUUUCGAAGCAUAGCUGGGAGCAUUGUUAGUAGCUGUUUGCCAACAAGAACAAACACAUGAGUCUUCAGUUGAUAAGAAUAGCUAGCAAGCGAGAAAGAUCAUGUGAAGAAAAGAUUAAUGUAUUUUGGUUCUUGUGACCAUAAGAAAAUUUGAUUGUUGAAAAUCAAAUGAAGACUUGGGCCAAGUCCAAAACCACAACAACCACCCAUGUAACAAUUGGUGCGACAUCUCAAGAAACAGUAAUCUUCAAAUACAGGUAUUUGUCUUAGUGGAUUGUGUUCAUGUUGAGUCAAAAUCUAAGCAUUUUACUGCAUAGAUCAACUCAAGCCCGAUUACGAAUAAUCAUGUCAAGCCUAAUUAUUAAACAGGUAAUAUGUCCUAUAAUCAUUCAACCCAUUUAAUAAUCAAGUCAUCAUAUUUAAUAAUUAGGUUGAAUUAGAUUUUGUACAAGUCUAUAUAAUUAAUGCCUCGACCAAAUGUGUUUAUGACUCGAUUCAUCUAUUUAUUUAAAAAUAAAUUUGAAAUGAAUCAAAUAUGGGGUUAGGUUAAAUAAUUUAAAAUUAUAAUUAGAUUAACUAAUGGAAUUAUUAAAUAGGUCAAUUCGGGUUAAAUUCAUAUUAUAGGGAAUGAUCCAAAAACUAUCAACUUAUUAAAUGGAUUAUGCAAUCAACACAAAUUUGACAAAGACUUGAUUAUGCUCAACCCAAACCCAUGAAAAACGUAUUGGCUUCGAGUCGAGUUGGCUAACUCACUCACAUAGCACUUAGGCUAUAUUCAGGCUUAUAAAUGCCCCCACUCAUUCUAUUAACGGAACAUACAAACUCAAAAUAAUGCAUCAAAACGCGUAAUGUGAACUUACAUGAACAAGUGGACUCAACAAGGCUUGUGAAGAUUGUUUGGUUGGUGUAACCAGCAUAGGCACAGGUUGUCCUGUUACAAGUGGUAGAUGUGGAGUUGCCAAUGGAUAAACCACUACUCCCACAUUCCAUGCUAGGGCACGUUCCAUUUGUUAUAUUAAGCCCGGAUUGCUCACAUUGUAAUCUGACCCAUCAGUCCAAAAAUGAAGCAAAAAAAAAAAAUUCAGAAAGAAUCAGUCUACGUGAAGCUAACAAGGGAAAAGGGAGGAACCCAAUGUUGCAAACCAUCAAGUGAUAAACUUACGUCCAGUUGUUUGCAGAAUAACACUGGCACUUCACACAAUUGUUUGCAGUGUAGGCAUAAGUACCAUUAGAGAGGAGUAAUGGGUAGUCCAAUGAGGUGUUCUUUACCACAGAAGUACAAGCUGUUGAUAAACAAACAAUCAUCAUACAUUUAUAACAAAUGAACAAGAAAGCAUCACAGAAGCCGAGUUCAUAGCAGUGAUACUGACAUGGAUUUAAAGUCUCAAACAAAUUGGGUGAAUUUGAGUGUUGUAUGGCCUAGGCCUGGCUUUUUUCGGGUUCUUUUGUAGCAAAAUGUAGGUUUUCAUGACUCCAAAAAUCAACCAUUGCUUCCGAUCAUCCUUUCGGUUUUAAUGCAGUUACAUAAAUCACAUAAAUCAAUUCUUUGAUUUGAUCUUUAGAAUCUAUGGAUCCAAGCUCAAUAACUCCUAAUUUGCUUAGUGCUCUACUCAAGAAGCGUAAAAAAGCUAUUAAUUGAAUGAAUCAAAUCAGAUUUGAAGGGGAAAAGGGGAAAGACCUUUGAGGGGAACAUCAAGGACAUCACCGGCCUUAAGAUUCUUGGGAUCUGUAAUGUUGUUGAGCUCCAACAGCGUCUCUUCGGUGGUUCCGUACUUCUCCGCGAUCUCCGCCACGGAGCUUCCGGAUUCCACCACGUGCCCGUAGUGCACCACCUUCGAUUCAUUCACCUCAUCGCAGCUACACGGCAGCGGAAUCCACAGCUCUUGCCCUACUUCAAUCAAAUUCGCAUCCGAAAUGUUGUUCACCGCCUGAAUCUCCUGAUACGUCACCAGUCCCGCGAACACCUCCGCCGCGAUGUGGUACAGUCCGUCGUCCUUCUGCACAGUGUACACCGGCCGGUGGUUCGAAAUUCCGGUUCCGUUAGAGCAGCGGCAGCGGAAGGGGAUGACGAUCUUGUCCUUCGCGGCUACGCUUUGGUUCGUUGGGGUCGAGGCCGGGAGGGAGUUGGCGCCGAGUAGAGUUCGAAAGUUUUUGACGCCGAAGAGAGUCUGGAUGGCGGAUAGAGUGGUGGUGUUGGGGGAGACGUAGCCGACGAGAGCGUUACAGGUGGGGCCGGAGCUGCAUUUGAAGCUGGCCUGAGCUCUCGGCGCAGUGAUGAGCACCGAGAGGAAGGAUAGGGCGAGAAGCAGCGUAGCAGAACCCAUGGCGGAGUGGUACGGAGAGUGGUGGAUUGGAGAGAGAAG
This 6320-nucleotide long non-coding RNA is filed under the name Vitis vinifera (wine grape). RNAcentral's name for it is "long non-coding RNA (VVIN_LNC000635)". The record is from RNAcentral. Lineage: Eukaryota; Viridiplantae; Streptophyta; Magnoliopsida; Vitales; Vitaceae.